RNAcentral lists this non-coding RNA (26 nucleotides) under Drosophila melanogaster (fruit fly). Lineage: Eukaryota; Metazoa; Arthropoda; Insecta; Diptera; Drosophilidae. The record is from RNAcentral.
UCCCAUAGAGACUGACUUCAUGCAGA